AAGUCGUAACAAGGUCUCCGUAGGUGAACCUGCGGAGGGAUCAUUACUGAAUGGCCUCUGGGCCUUCAACCUUGCAAACCUGUGGAAGCAACAUGUGCUUCGGCGCUCCGGCGUCGCUUUUAUGCAUAAAUCUGUUUGUCGUCUGAAUCAUACACAAGAAUCAAAACUUUCAACAAAGGAUCUCUUGGCUCUC
RNAcentral lists this unclassified non-coding RNA (193 nucleotides) under Archaeorhizomyces sp. Its description in RNAcentral is "partial contains small subunit ribosomal RNA, internal transcribed spacer 1, and 5.8S ribosomal RNA". The stretch from base 1 to 46 matches the Rfam family "Eukaryotic small subunit ribosomal RNA", at positions 1786 to 1831 of the family's 1831-position model. Lineage: Eukaryota; Fungi; Ascomycota; Archaeorhizomycetes; Archaeorhizomycetales; Archaeorhizomycetaceae. The record is from RNAcentral.